AGAGCCCAGCAGAAGAAAAACACUAUAACACACAUGAUAGCUUUCACCCUGAUGGCUCAUUAAAAAUAAAUAAGCGCUUAGUUUUAUUUCUGCAGUAACACAUUUUAGCAGACCUUUUAUAAAGUAUACAUACGGAUCUAAACCAUAUUUGCAAAAACUGGAUGGGAAGAGCAGUUUGUAGAGCCAAGCACUGCCCGGCUAGCAACCGCUUCCUUCCAGGUUGCCCGUAAAGCCAUAGUGUGUCCUCUGUGCUUGCGCAUUUAAGUGAGGGGCUUGAAUGACGCAGUGACAACUUGUUCCACCAGCCAUCCGCACACUGUGCAAGGGCAGAUUUGCCCCACUGGCUGAGCAGGGAAUUCAAUACUCUGGGUUCCCAUUAAUCUGCACACUGCUUGGAGCCUGCUCAGAAUGCUAAACUGUUCCUUUCCUUGUGAUUUUUCCUGUGGUGCUUGUGUGGAAUGUUUCACAAAUACUGAGGAACGUCUUUCCAGUCCCUGUGAAAUCAGAGGGUCACGAUCCCCAUUUUGCGCACACAGAAUUGUGAUGCAAAGGGAUGAAUGAAAACAUAAAUACCCACAGACUGGAGAAGCUCACCUUACAAAACCUGCUUUUGUUUUUCAGACUACAAAGUCCUUUCCUUCUGCCCCUUGACCAGUGGUCACAAGCCAAGGGAUAUUCGCCUCUCUUCCAACAUAGCCAGAUUUUCAUGUGUUGAUGGUUUAAUGCUGGACGUGGUGAUGCUCGGUAAGUUUUCUUUUUCUUAUGAUCUGAGCAAAAUCCUUUAAUGAUGCCAGGAAUUGCCCAGAGUACGGUGGAAGAGCCCUGCGGUCAGUCUGCCUGAGGCUCCUUGCAGGGCUGGACUAGCCAGCUAGGCUGCGCAGACCCCCCAGGUGCCCUCCCAGAAGAGAUGGGCUCUCCCACCUUAGUUUGAGAGGCUCCAGGACCCUCCCAACCUCACUUAAUGCAGAUAGGAUCUCAUUUGCCCAGAUGAGAGGUGCAGGAAACAGCUGGACACCCCUGCUCUGAGCUGACACCCCCUUCCCUCCAGGGCAGCACAUCAGGGCAUGUGUGUGCAAAGCAAAAGCAUUCCAGUAUGGAUGUUGCACACCUUUGCUGUGUUGUGUGUCCCUCUCUCCUCACACACCCUUUUUUAUCUCUCUUCUUCUUGGCACUGCUGAAAGGAGCCACAGGGCUGCACAACCACCCAGCACCAGCAAAAUGGCUCCCACCCCGCCAUGCUCUCAUUUUCCCUUGGUGUAAAACUGCCAGGGCUGCAGCCAGCUUUAAGUGUUAUGUAUCUUGUUUGUAGAGCUGAACCCGUGUCUGUGGACUGGUGGCUGGGACAGCUCUGAAAACAAACUAAUUCUGUUUUGUUCCCCUUUUUGAUAAAAGAAAACACUACCUCUCUGAGAUUUACACAGUAGAUCAAGCAUAAACCUGAAUUAUCUCCCUCUCCUUUUUUUUUUUUGCAGGAGUAGAUGAUAGGUAGAUCUAUCCAUCCAUCUGCUUUGUUACGCAUCACCCAGCUUGGCAGCGUUUCUGUUGCUAUUAACCACGUUCACCCCAUUGACAUUUAAAGGGCCGUUGUGUGAUUACUGUCACAGUCUUGUACGUGGAUCCUUAAACCAAUUCUCGCCUCCUCUUCCCUCUGAUGAUGGAUUUGCUUGUUUAUGCCACAGUAAUUUCUUUUUCUCGUGCUGCACUUCGGCAAACUGCUUUCACUGUCAAAUGUGGUUUUCUCUCCAGCCCUUCCUCGCGGUGCCAUGUUACAUCUGAGCAGCUCUGGGCAAAUUGGAGCUGCCUUGUCUUUCAGCAGUGUUAGCAAAAUGAAACAGCCUAUGCCUGCGGGAGCUGGAUCGCACCAGGGUUGGAUCCUCCUGUGUUCAGAGCUGCUGCGGCAGCAGGGCGAAGUGUGGCAGACCCCAUUGAUGGGGACACUGGCCACCACAGCUGUUUGGUUGCCCCCAUGCAGGAUGCCCCGUGGGACACAUGGGCAUUGGCUCCGCCGUGAGGACCACGUGGCAGUCAGGAGCAGGGAGUCAAGUCUUUCCAUAUCUUUGGGAGCUUCUUUUCCACUUCUUUUGAAUGGGGGUUGCAGCUCGUCCAUCAGGGUAGCAGUGUCCGUGCCACAAGCUGCUGCAGGAUGCUAACACCUUCCACCAACACGGAUCUCAGAGAUGAUGUUUCUUUGCUGUAUGUGCGCCUGCAGGACAAGACUCAAUGCCAGCAGUUGUUCAUCUGGUCCUCCCAUGAAGACUGUGAACAACCCGUCCCCUUGUGAGCAAAGGCAAGUCAUGGCAGCAAACUGGCAGCCAGACGCACGCCUGGAGCUGUGUUCACUGGAAUUAUCCUAAGGGAACUCCUUCGUCUUGAAUUCUGGGGAUCAGCACUGACACCCUCUUGCUUUGUAAACCCCACAGCCCCAGCUGUCUGCCAUCCUUGGCCAGGCACUGCCACCCCUCGCAGAGCCCCUGCACCCCGGCUGCCUCCCUGCUGCUCCAACGAGCUGUUUCACAUGGCCACAGCCAUGCAGAAGACACACUUCCAACUCAGGUGCCUUGGACAAGUUUGGUGCCCUUUGCAAUCUCCUUCUGUUAUAUUUC
Long non-coding RNA from Cuculus canorus (common cuckoo), 2603 nucleotides. RefSeq lists it as uncharacterized. The record is from RefSeq and is a predicted model, not a curated record. Lineage: Eukaryota; Metazoa; Chordata; Aves; Cuculiformes; Cuculidae. The transcript has 3 exons.